This 1549-nucleotide ribosomal RNA is filed under the name Klebsiella pneumoniae. RNAcentral describes it as "bacterial SSU rRNA". It matches the Rfam family "Bacterial small subunit ribosomal RNA". The record is from RNAcentral. Lineage: Bacteria; Pseudomonadati; Pseudomonadota; Gammaproteobacteria; Enterobacterales; Enterobacteriaceae.
AAAUUGAAGAGUUUGAUCAUGGCUCAGAUUGAACGCUGGCGGCAGGCCUAACACAUGCAAGUCGAGCGGUAGCACAGAGAGCUUGCUCUCGGGUGACGAGCGGCGGACGGGUGAGUAAUGUCUGGGAAACUGCCUGAUGGAGGGGGAUAACUACUGGAAACGGUAGCUAAUACCGCAUAACGUCGCAAGACCAAAGUGGGGGACCUUCGGGCCUCAUGCCAUCAGAUGUGCCCAGAUGGGAUUAGCUAGUAGGUGGGGUAACGGCUCACCUAGGCGACGAUCCCUAGCUGGUCUGAGAGGAUGACCAGCCACACUGGAACUGAGACACGGUCCAGACUCCUACGGGAGGCAGCAGUGGGGAAUAUUGCACAAUGGGCGCAAGCCUGAUGCAGCCAUGCCGCGUGUGUGAAGAAGGCCUUCGGGUUGUAAAGCACUUUCAGCGGGGAGGAAGGCGAUAAGGUUAAUAACCUUGUCGAUUGACGUUACCCGCAGAAGAAGCACCGGCUAACUCCGUGCCAGCAGCCGCGGUAAUACGGAGGGUGCAAGCGUUAAUCGGAAUUACUGGGCGUAAAGCGCACGCAGGCGGUCUGUCAAGUCGGAUGUGAAAUCCCCGGGCUCAACCUGGAAACUGCAUUCGAAACUGGCAGGCUAGAGUCUUGUAGAGGGGGGGUAGAAUUCCGGGUGUAGCGGUGAAAUGCGUAGAGAUCUGGAGGAAUACCGGUGGCGAAGGCGGCCCCCUGGACAAAGACUGACGCUCAGGUGCGAAAGCGUGGGAGCAAACAGGAUUAGAUACCCUGGUAGUCCACGCCGUAAACGAUGUCGAUUUGGAGGUUGUGCCCUUGAGGCGUGGCUUCCGGAGCUAACGCGUUAAAUCGACCGCCUGGGGAGUACGGCCGCAAGGUUAAAACUCAAAUGAAUUGACGGGGGCCCGCACAAGCGGUGGAGCAUGUGGUUUAAUUCGAUGCAACGCGAAGAACCUUACCUGGUCUUGACAUCCACAGAACUUUCCAGAGAUGGAUUGGUGCCUUCGGGAACUGUGAGACAGGUGCUGCAUGGCUGUCGUCAGCUCGUGUUGUGAAAUGUUGGGUUAAGUCCCGCAACGAGCGCAACCCUUAUCCUUUGUUGCCAGCGGUCCGGCCGGGAACUCAAAGGAGACUGCCAGUGAUAAACUGGAGGAAGGUGGGGAUGACGUCAAGUCAUCAUGGCCCCACGACCGGGGCUACACACGUGCUACAAUGGCAUAUACAAAGAGAAGCGACCUCGCGAGAGCAAGCGGACCUCAUAAAGUAUGUCGUAGUCCGGAUUGGAGUCUGCAACUCGACUCCAUGAAGUCGGAAUCGCUAGUAAUCGUAGAUCAGAAUGCUACGGUGAAUACGUUCCCGGGCCUUGUACACACCGCCCGUCACACCAUGGGAGUGGGUUGCAAAAGAAGUAGGUAGCUUAACCUUCGGGAGGGCGCUUACCACUUUGUGAUUCAUGACUGGGGUGAAGUCGUAACAAGGUAACCGUAGGGGAACCUGCGGUUGGAUCACCUCCUUACCUUAAAGAA